UACGUAGGGUGCUAGCGUUAAUCGGAAUAACUGGGCGUAAAGGGCACGCAGGCGGGCUUUUAAGUGAGGUGUGAAAGCCCCGGGCUUAACCUGGGAAUAGCAUUUCAGACUGGGAGUCUAGAGUACUUUAGGGAGGGGUAGAAUUCCACGUGUAGCGGUGAAAUGCGUAGAUAUGUGGAGGAAUACCGAAGGCGAAGGCAGCCCCUUGGGAAUAUACUGUCGCUCAUGUACGAAAGCGUGGGGAGCAAACAGG
RNAcentral lists this ribosomal RNA (253 nucleotides) under uncultured bacterium. RNAcentral describes it as "partial 16S ribosomal RNA". It matches the Rfam family "Bacterial small subunit ribosomal RNA", at positions 524 to 776 of the family's 1533-position model. The record is from RNAcentral.